RNAcentral lists this long non-coding RNA (204 nucleotides) under Elaeis guineensis (African oil palm). RNAcentral's name for it is "long non-coding RNA (EGUI_LNC043165)". The record is from RNAcentral. Lineage: Eukaryota; Viridiplantae; Streptophyta; Magnoliopsida; Arecales; Arecaceae.
GGUGUGAGAAAAAGAGAGGAAGAAAAUAAAAGAAGGGGUUCUUCUCUAGGGUUUUUCUUAGUUCUCUUUGAGUGUAUCUUUGAGAGAAAAGAGAGAGGAGUCUCUCUUUAUCAUCCUCUACAUCUGUCAUCCUCCUCCAGUUUCUCUUCAGAGAUCUAAGAGAGUCUGAGAGAUCUGAAGAAGAAAUCAGAAUCAACCAUUAGG